RNAcentral lists this transfer RNA (77 nucleotides) under Arenicella sp. Its description in RNAcentral is "tRNA-Gln". It matches the Rfam family "tRNA". From Rfam's summary of the family: Transfer RNA (tRNA) molecules are approximately 80 nucleotides in length. Their secondary structure includes four short double-helical elements and three loops (D, anti-codon, and T loops). The record is from RNAcentral. RNAcentral also lists the same sequence under 3 other names. Lineage: Bacteria; Pseudomonadati; Pseudomonadota; Gammaproteobacteria; Arenicellales; Arenicellaceae.
UGGGGCGUGGCGAAGUGGUCUAACGCACCGGAUUUUGAUUCCGGCAUUCGAAGGUUCAAAUCCUUCCGCCCCAGCCA